CCAAUAGCGUAUAUUAAAGUUGUUGCAGUUAAAAAGCUCGUAGUUGAAUUUCGGGGUUCUACCGUUGGUCGGGCAAUAGUCUGUACUGGCGUGUAGGAUUUCUACCUUCUGGGGAACCAUCAUGUUAUUUAUUUAGCGUGGUGGGAAACCAGGACCUUUACCUUGAAAAAAUUAGAGUGUUCAAAGCAGGCUUACGUCUGAAUACAUUAGCAUGGAAUAAUAAAAUAGGGCGGUGGUCCUGUUUUGUUGGUUUCUGAAUCACCGUAAUGAUUAAUAGGGAUAGUUGGGGGCAUUAGUAUUCAAUUGUCAGAGGUGAAAUUCUUGGAUUUAUUGAAGACUAACUUCUGCGAAAGCAUUUGCCAAGGAUGUUUUCAUUAAUCAAGAACGAAAGUUAGGGGAUCGAAGACGAUCAGAUACCGUCGUAGUCUUAACCAUAAACUAUGCCGACUAGGGAUCGGACGAUGUUAAUUUUUUAAUGACUCAUUCGGCGCCUUACG
RNAcentral lists this ribosomal RNA (497 nucleotides) under uncultured Glomeromycotina. RNAcentral's name for it is "partial small subunit ribosomal RNA". It matches the Rfam family "Eukaryotic small subunit ribosomal RNA", at positions 591 to 1092 of the family's 1831-position model. The record is from RNAcentral. Lineage: Eukaryota; Fungi; Glomeromycota.